This 232-nucleotide long non-coding RNA is filed under the name Gallus gallus (chicken). Lineage: Eukaryota; Metazoa; Chordata; Aves; Galliformes; Phasianidae. The record is from RNAcentral.
GUUUUCUUGAUAGCACUUGAGAAUUUCAGACUGCAGACUGGCACAGACAGGAUCAGUGUUCCUCCUCUUUAUCCAUUCCUCUGCCUUGGUGGCUGCCUCCUGGUACUGCUCCGACGUCAGCUUGUAGAUUUCUGCAUUCUUCCUCUCAAUGCGGGCCAACUGCUCUUUAUAGAAGGCUUCUUGCCGCUUCAGCUCUGCCUCCCUGCCUUGCAGCUCCAGGGCCCAGGCGUCC